CUACGGGAUGCACCAGGUGCGAAAACUUUACAAUGCACGAAAGUGUGAUAAGGGAAUCUCAAGUGCUUUACUCUUUGUAAAGCUUUUGUUAAGUGUAAAUAGCUUAAUAAAUAAGUGGUGGGUAAGACUGGUGCCAGCCGCCGCGGUAACACCAGCGCCACGAGUGGUAAUCACGUUUAUUGGGUCUAAAGGGUCCGUAGCUGGUUUGAUAAGUUCCUUGUAAAAUUGUUAGGCUUAACUUAGCAGCUUGCAAGGAAAACUAUCUAACUAGGAACCGGGAGAAGACAGAAGUACUUUGUGGGGAGUGGUAAAAUAUUAUAAUCCUCAAAGGACUACCUGUGGCAAAAGCAUCUGUCUAGAACGGGUUCGACAGUGAUGGACGAAAGCUAAGGGAGCGAUCCGGAUUAGAUACCCUCGUAGUC
This 422-nucleotide ribosomal RNA is filed under the name uncultured archaeon. Its description in RNAcentral is "partial 16S ribosomal RNA". It matches the Rfam family "Archaeal small subunit ribosomal RNA", at positions 323 to 746 of the family's 1478-position model. The record is from RNAcentral.